RNAcentral lists this ribosomal RNA (496 nucleotides) under uncultured bacterium. RNAcentral describes it as "partial 16S ribosomal RNA". It matches the Rfam family "Bacterial small subunit ribosomal RNA", at positions 29 to 507 of the family's 1533-position model. The record is from RNAcentral.
AUGAACGCUGGCGGCGUGCCUAAUACCUGCAAGUCGAGCGAACAGACGAGGAGCUUGCUCCUCUGACGUUAGCGGCGGACGGGUGAGUAACACGUGGAUAACCUACCUAUAAGACUGGGAUAACUUCGGGAAACCGGAGCUAAUACCGGAUAAUAUAUUGAACCGCAUGGUUCAAUAGUGAAAGACGGUUUUGCUGUCACUUAUAGAUGGAUCCGCGCCGCAUUAGCUAGUUGGUAAGGUAACGGCUUACCAAGGGAACGAUGCGUAGCCGACCUGAGAGGGUGAUCGGCCACACUGGAACUGAGACACGGUCCAGACUCCUACGGGAGGCAGCAGUAGGGAAUCUUCCGCAAUGGGCGAAAGCCUGACGGAGCAACGCCGCGUGAGUGAUGAAGGUCUUCGGAUCGUAAAACUCUGUUAUUAGGGAAGAACAAAUGUGUAAGUAACUAUGCACGUCUUGACGGUACCUAAUCAGAAAGCCACGGCUAACUACGUG